This 456-nucleotide ribosomal RNA is filed under the name uncultured bacterium. RNAcentral's name for it is "partial 16S ribosomal RNA". It matches the Rfam family "Bacterial small subunit ribosomal RNA", at positions 29 to 507 of the family's 1533-position model. The record is from RNAcentral.
AACAAACGCUGGCGGCGUGCCUAAUACAUGCAAGUCGAACGAGGUAGCAAUACCUAGUGGCGCACGGGUGAGUAACGCGUGGAUAAUCUGCCCUUCAGUGGGGAAUAACUCUCCGAAAGGAGAGCUAAUACCGCAUAAGACCACAGUGACUUUGGUCACAGAGGUUAAAGGAGCAAUUCGCUGAAGGAUGAGUCCGCGUCAGAUUAUGGUAGUUGGUGGGGUAACGGCCUACCAAGCCUUCGAUCUGUAGCUGGUCUGAGAGGAUGAUCAGCCACACUGGAACUGAGACACGGUCCAGACUCCUACGGGAGGCAGCAGUAGGGAAUAUUGGUCAAUGGGCGAAAGCCUGAAUCAGCAACGCCGCGUGAGCGACGAAGGCCUUAGGGUUGUAAAGCUCUGUUGCAAGGGAAGAAAAAAAUGACGGUACUUUGCGAGAAAGGACCGGCCAACUUCGUG